UAAAGCAUCCGUAGCUGGCUGUUCAAGUCCCCUGUUAAAUCCACCGAUUUAAUCGUUGGUGUGCGGGGGAUACUGCUCGGCUAGGGGACGAGAGAGGCAGACGGUAUUUUCGGGGUAGGGGUGAAAUCCUAUAAUCCCGGGAAGACCACCAGUGGCGAAGGCUGUCUGCUAGAACGCGCCCGACGGUGAGGGAUGAAAGCUGGGGGAGCGAACCGGAUUAGAUACCCGGGUAGUCCCAGCUGUAAACUAUGCAGGCUAGGUGUUUGGGCGGCUACGUGCCGCUCUAGUGCCGCAGGGAAGCUGUUAAGCCUGCCGCCUGGGGAGUACGAUCGCAAGAUUGAAACUUAAGGGAAUUGGCGGGGGAGCACCACAAGGGGUGAAGCUUGCGGUUUAAUUGGAGUCAACGCCGGAAAUCUCACCGGGAGCGACAGCAGUGUGAAGGCCAGAUUAAAGGUCUUGCUGGACGAGCUGAGAGGAGGUGCAUGGCCGUCGCCAGUUCGUGCCGUGAGGUGUCCUGUUAAGUCAGGCAACGAUCGAGACCCGCGUCCUCUGUUGCUACCAGUCUUGUGCUGGGCACACUGAGGAGACCGCCGCUGAUAAAGCGGAGGAAGGAGCGGGCCACGGCAGGUCAGUAUGCCCCGAAUCUCCCGGGCCACACGCGAGCUGCAAUGGCAGGUACAGUGAGUUCCGACCUUGAAAGGGGGAGGCAAUCUCGAAAGCUUGCCGUAGUUGGGAUCGAAGGCUGAAACCCGCCUUCGUGAACAU
This 765-nucleotide ribosomal RNA is filed under the name uncultured crenarchaeote. RNAcentral's name for it is "bacterial SSU rRNA". It matches the Rfam family "Archaeal small subunit ribosomal RNA", at positions 511 to 1283 of the family's 1478-position model. Lineage: Archaea; Thermoproteati; Thermoproteota. The record is from RNAcentral.